Long non-coding RNA from Lutra lutra (Eurasian river otter), 430 nucleotides. RefSeq lists it as uncharacterized. The transcript is spliced from 3 exons. The record is from RefSeq and is a predicted model, not a curated record. NCBI's taxonomy places the organism in Eukaryota, Metazoa, Chordata, Mammalia, Carnivora, Mustelidae.
CGCUGAGUUGCUGGGGUUUGUUGUUGUAUUCGGGCAGUUCGAGUGCCUUCUGCUAGAAGGCGGAUAGGGAGAGGCUGGAGAGAUGGAGGCGCCUCUGGUUAAAAGCCACCGCGCGGAGCGAGCGGCGACCCCCCGGGACUCCUGCCGCGUGCCCGUCCCCGUCCCCGUCCCCGGCGGCCUCGCGCUCCUGGCCUUCCAGGACUAGGCGAACAGGGCGCCGAGCCGUCUCAGCUCCCGGGGAAAGCCCGAUCCCGCCGGGCACCUGCUCCCGCAGCCGGUCCCUGUGCUCUCCCCGGCGGGCAGAGGAUGAGCUGCGGGGGUCCAAACCACUAGUCACUCCAAAGAGUGUCCGUGGCCACUGAAUGUUUCCAGAAGACGUGGCGCUGCACCAAAAGGAGACAGGGUCCUAGGAUCGAGCCCCACAUCGGGC